Molecule: non-coding RNA, 25700 nt
Organism: Rattus norvegicus (Norway rat)
Lineage: Eukaryota; Metazoa; Chordata; Mammalia; Rodentia; Muridae
Source: RefSeq, a predicted model, not a curated record
CCCUUCAAGCUCUUCCAGUUCUUUCUCUGAUUCCUUCAACGGGGGACCUAUUCUCAGUUCAGUGGUUUGCUGCUGGCAUUCGCCUCUGUAUUUGCUGUAUUCUGGCUGUGUCUCUCAGGAGCAAUCUACAUCCGGCUCCUGUCGGCCUGCACUUCUUUGCUUCAUCCAUCUUGUCUAAUUGGGUGGCUCUAUAUGUAUGGGCCACAUGUGGGGCAGGCUCUGAAUGGGUGUUCCUUCAGUCUCUGUUUUAAUCUUUGCCUCUCCCUUCCCUGCCAAGGGUAUUCUUUUUCCUCAUUUAAAGAAGGAGUGAAGCAUUCAUCUUUUGAUCAUCCGUCUUGAGUUUCAUUUGUUCUAGGGAUCUAGGGUAAUUCAAGCAUUUGGGCUAAUAGCCACUUAUCAAUGAGUGCAUACCAUGUAUGUCUUUCUGUGAUUGGGUUAGGUCACUCAGGAUGAUAUUUUCCAGUUCCAAUCAUUUGCCUACGAAUUUCAUAAACUCGUUGUUUUUGAUAGCUGAGUAAUAUUCCAUUGUGUAGAUGUACCAUAUUUUCUGUAUCCAUUCCUCUGUUGAAGGGCAUCUGGGUUCUUUCCAUUUUCUGGCUAUUAUAAAUAAGGCUGCGAUGAACAUAGUGGAGCAUGUGUCUCUUUUAUAUGUUGAGGCAUCUUUUGGGUAUAUGCCCAAGAGAGGUAUAGCUGGAUCCUCAGGCAGUUCAAUGUCCAAUUUUCUGAGGAACCUCCAGACUGAUUUCCAGAAUGGUUGUACCAGUCUGCAAUCCCACCAACAAUGGAGGAGUGUUCCUCUUUCUCCACGUCCUCGCCAGCAUCUGCUGUCACCUGAGUUUUUGAUCUUAGCCAUUCUCACUGGUGUGAGGUGAAAUCUCAGGGUUGUUUUGAUUUGCAUUUGAUAUGGUGAUUAUCUUAAUAGCCUAAAUAGAAGUGACAAGACCUUUCCACUGUAGGCUGAACCAUUCCCAGGCUGGGAUCCUGGACUGUGUAAGUGGAGAAAGGGAAUUGAGCAGUAUGAUGUAAAUGCAUUUACCUCUUCCUUCCUGUUUGUGGAUGUGGUGUGACCAGCUGCCACAUUGACUUCUUCACUGUAAUGAACUCUGGGACUGUGAGUCCGAAUAAAUCUUGCCUCUCCUACACUGCUUUUACCAGAGUAUUUAGUCACAGCAAGAGUGAACAACACAGAGAAGUGCUUGCUCCAUAAGCAUGAAGAUGUGGAAUCAAAUCUCUAGAACCCCUGUAAAAAGUUGGGUGGUGUUCUCCAUGGCUGUAGUCCCAGCAGUGGAGAGUUAGAAACAGGAAAGAUCAGAUGGGCUUGCUGGUCAGUCAGCCUGGCCAAAUGGCUCACCGAUCUCCAGGUUCAGUGGGAAAUCAUGCCUUGAAAAGUUAGAUGAAGAAUGACAGAAGAUGACACUUGUUAUAAAACCUCUGGGCUUUAUGUGCAUAUAUAUAAUGUGCUUGUAUAUCUACACACACACACACACACACACACACACACACACACACACACACACACACAUCUUAUCUUAGUUCCACACAAUUUUAAAGGAAAAUUUUUUAAUUCGGAAAUAUAAUAUGUUUAUACUCUUUUGCUGGUUGUAAUUCGAAUAUAUUCAGUUCCAAAAGGUAAAAGUUCUCAAUGUUAAUAAUAAUGACAAUCAAUAUUGUUAUUAAGCGCUUAUUAGAAAGCAAUGAUGGAAACUUACUAUUACUAUUGCUUAUUCCUCACUGUAUCACAGGGUUAUUUGCAUCCUAUAGAUAGGGAAAUGAGGUACCAAGAGGACCAGUGUGGUGCAUAAAGUUAUACACUGACUGAAUGACAAAACUAAGAUACGUAGCCAUGCUUGUCUACUCUGAAAUUUUCAUCAUCCUCUAAUGGCAUGUGUCUGCCUGGGACCAGCCAGGUUUUACUGUGUGUUAUGAUAAUGGUGUAUCAAUUUUUGAUUACGAGUAUUCAGAGAGAUACUCAGCCCUAUUCUGCAUCUUUAAUGGCCUUGCGAUAUGCUAAUUAGUAUGGUUGGAUGCUAACAUACUGAAAAUAAAUUCGAAAAUCAUUUGCAUUUCCAAACAGAGUUAAGUGAAAAUGUCAAACAAAUCAUGUAGUGACACUGACAUGAAGUCCCUGUCAUGUUCUCCUCUAUUUCCUGCUGGGCUUCUACUUAGUGAGAACCUGAAGAUGCUAGAUCCAUCUUGAUAGCAGUGUCAAUGCUCUGGGAAUUAGAUACCUAACAGAAAACACAUGCUGGGAAUGAAAAUGGCAUCCCCGAGAGUUCUGGCACCAAAGCAAAGGUUCACUUCAUAAGAGAAAAAUAAUUCCUCAGUUCCAGGUAACUAGGGCACUCAGCUAAAUCCACAUAUGCAGAUUGCCUGGCUUUUCUUGUAUCUCUCUAUGAAUUUUAACAGUUCAAUGGGCAAGAUGGCCACAGACUCUCAUUCCCCAGUCUUGUAGGAAACUAAAUAAAUUCAUUCUGGCACUUGAGGUAUCUCUCUUUCUCAUACUCAUGAGUAGUCAGACCCAGAGCCCAGCUCAUGGUCAGUCCCAAAGUCUACUUAAUCUGUCCUGUUCUGAGCGAGCUCCCAGGGGGUAAGUGAGGUCAUCAAGAAGAACAUUUACCACAAAAUUGAUUUCUAAGGACAGAACAUUCAGUAGGGCUGAUGUCAGGAUGCUGAUUAAAACAAUGACAAACCCUCUGCCACCAUGGCGGCAGACAAUGUGUGGCAUACCUUAGGAUAUGGACAACCCUGAGAAAGUAAAGGAGACAGGAAAGCCACCAGAUGGCUGCAACACUGGUAUUUUUCAUAUCCGUUCUCACCCAGUUGUGACUCUGGUAUAACUUAAAUUGCAUAGAAAAGUGUGUUUUAUAUAUACCCUGGCUAAAUCCGGAUUCCUUCUACAUCUUUCUCGCUCAGUUCCACAGUUAACCUUACAUGGGUGAGAAUGACCUGCUCUAUCACGUGGCAUCUUGACUAUAAGAAAAGCUGGUGUUGACUGUUGGAAUAAUUCACACUAUACCCAUCCAUAAUCGAUACUGUUUCUUCCUAAUAGAAAGUGUAAAAGAAAGAGGAGAGGGACAGUGGCAAUGAGGAGAAGAGAAAGGAGGGAAGAAGAAAGGAUGGGCGAGGGAGUGAGGGAGAGAAGAGGAGAGUGAGGAAAGUGUUAGUUCUAAAAAAGGUCCAUCUUGCCUAAGUGUUCCAAAGUGAGCCAACAACUCUUGGGUUGUAGUUUGGGUUUUAUGGUUUGUCUGUUUACUGAAGUUCAGUCUUUUCAUCAGUCCCGAAAAAUAUGCCCACUACAACUUCUGAUUACAAAGCCCUGUUAAAUGUAACUGGUUUCUGGCAGACAAUCUGAAAAUCACCAGCGAAAUAUGUAUCAAUGGCCUUUUUGGAAAAUAUGCUAACAUGCUGUAAUGCCCUGGGUACGGUAAGAGUUUACACUGGGUAUUGUAGAGUAAUGAGCUUCAGCUUUAUCUUAGAUAUUUUAUAUUGUGAGUGCAAAGACAGAGGGCAGCCAGGAAAAUAAUUCCUUAAUGGUCCAGGAGACGUAUCAUUCCAGAAUGUCUAACAGUUUUCACAUGUAGCCCAGCUGAGCCUCUGUGAGAUUUGAGUGUUCUGAAUUUAAGGAGUUCAUUUAAACCCAUUUUUGUUUUCUAUGACCUUUAAAGGGAUACAUUAUUCCAAUCAUCAUGGCCUAGAAAGGGGGAGGCUGAUCAAAUGAGACUUCUGUAUUGCCUAGGCUGGCAUUAAAUUCAUAAUUCUCCUCUCUUAGUGUGUGCACUGCUGGGAUUAGAGAUGUAUUGUCCCUGCUAGAUUUCACAUAAUACAUGGUAAAAACCUAAAAGCUGACCUUUAAUAAGGUCACCGCCCUUGCAGAAUGAAACCUGUAGCUUGUAACAUGGUGUGAAGAAUGUAUGUUGUAGCCCUACCUGUAAUGUUAGCUUCUGGGCUGACCCAGUUUGUCCAGUGUGCUCCACCAGCGGAAAUGCUGAUGCUUCCUCCCCUGUUCUUUCUUGCCAUUGCUGUUGUCAGGCUGCCUCUUUUAAAGAUGCACUUUCUUCCUUAUAUGUUGAAAAUAGAUUUCUUUUAAAAUUUUAGUACAAUAUAUUCUGAUUAUGGCUUCCCUUCCCCCAAUUCCUUCUAGAUUCUCCCUAUUUCCCCAUCCACCCAAAUCCACUCCCUUUCUUUCUCUUAUUUUUUUUAGGAAACAAACAGGCAUGUAAAAGAUAAUGAUAAAAUAAAACUAAACAAACCAGAACAGGAUAAAACAGAGGAGAAACAGCCAAGAAAAAGACACAGAGACAUCCCAUAAAAACACAAAACUGGAAGCCAUAAUAUACAUGCAAAGCAUCAGAAGGGGGGAAAAAGCCCUGGCAAAGUAUUAUCAGUUGGGGGAUAGCUCCUGAGUUAGAGAUGUGGGCUUGUGUCCACUUCCCCUCUCAGCACUGGAAGACCGUUGGUCUCUGACCUAUGCAGGUCUUGUGUGUUCCUUUCACCUCCCCAACUCAUCUCACUUGUGGAUUAUUGCAAAGGGCAGAAGACAGACACUGGUCACUUCUCUAUUCAGUCACAAUGGAAGAAGAAACAGCGAAGCAGUAGCAUUUGGGUAAAUACUCUUGAGUUAAUUAAACUCGCCGUUAACCCUGUGAGGUAGGCACGCGGAGGACAUAAUGGAAGCACGAUUUGCUAAUGUUUCAGUGCCCUUUCCACCAUCUGGCCCUGCCUUGCUGCCCACACCUGCAGCAACUUACAUCUUGAUGGGUUUUACCUUAUAGGAUUCAUUAAACUCUCACGCUGGUGUCUUCUUAGAAAAAGCUGUGAGAUACAGCUGUAGCUGAGAGUUGAAAAGGAGGGACCCGCUACCCAGUUAGACGAAAUUUGUGCACUUUGUCUUCAGCCGCCAUUCUCCAGACAUUGGCGACCACGAUUCCAAGUUCAUCCCGUCACACAGUUUUCAGCACCAGAAUGGUUUCUUGCUUGCUCCACACUGACUUCCUAUUUUCGGCCCAUCAAUAAACCUGUUUCCAUAUUCCACAAAGCAGAUUCUCAGCAGAAGUCCACAUUGUGUCGUUUUUCUCCUAAUGAGAACUCUGCUAUGGCACUGUUGAGAUUUCACUGAGAUUUUCUUCCUCCUCCUUUCCGUCGUUGCUUCCUUGGACAGAUUAGACAAUAGCUUUGUAAAUGUUGUGACACAAUUGCUACAAUAAUGAAAACCUGCUGGAAUUUUUAUUUUUUACUUUCCCUUUAGACAUAAUCAGUCUCCUCAUCCUCCCCAGGCAGAGCCUUAUGUGUGUGAGUUUAUAUUCACAUGUUAAACAGACAACUACCAUGUUUAAAAAAAUUCAAUUUGGGGGGAAAAGGGCAAAAGCUUUGUUUUCUAUCCUUUUUAAAGAAUAAAAGAAUUAUCAAAAGCUUUCCAUAAAUGCCUGAUUGUGGACAUGAGCUAUGACUGUAUCUUCUGGCCCUCCUUAGUAGUCAAUAAAAGUCAAAUUUCAAUGCACAGUCACUAAUACUAAUCAAGGUUUACUUAAUUGGGUCUAAGGACUGUAUUUCCCUUAGGCAUAUAGCCAUUCAACACUUGAAUGUAAUUAGGAGUAGAGUAAAGAGAGAAGCUAGAACAUGUAUUUUUAUUAACUCUGCUACCCACUGUACUAAUAUGGAAAUGUGAAUUUUUAUUUUUAAUAUUUGGACAGCAUACAGUACAGGGUAAUGCCUUCAGAAGAAUUGUUUUUUCAUGUAGAUUUCAUGCAAACCAGACAUAAGUUAAUUUUCAAAAAGUCAAAAUGUAUCUUCUUACUAACCUUAUCUUGAGAAUUUUUUCCAUAAAUACUAUAUUUAUGUUACUUCCACAUUACUCUUUCCCCUUGCAACUCCUAACGCUCCCCAACUCCUUCUCAAAUUCAUGACCAUUUUUUCUUAAUUAUUAUUCUUUCUCUUUCUUUCUGUCCCUCUGUCACAUACUCAUAUACAUACUGUAGAGUUAAUUUAGUAUUUAUCAUAUAUAUAUGAUAUCAAUUAUAUAUCAUAUAUGUGUGUGUGCAUGUGUGUGUUAUGUGUAUGUAUGUAUGUAUGUAUGUAUGUAUGUAUGUAUAUAUAUAAAACUGUCAUCUUGGGGGCUUGGGGAUUUAGCUCAGUGGUAGAGCGCUUGCCUAGCAAGCGCAAGGCCCUGGGUUCGGUCCUCAGCUCCGAAAAAAAAAAAAAGAAAAAAAAGAAAAAAAAAACCAACUGUCAUCUUGGGAUUUGAUGACAACCUGUCAGAGCACUCGUCUCUGGAGAACACUUACCGUCCCUCCCUGAGCAUAUGUUUAUUGGCAAUCGUAGCUCCUCUUCUAGAAGUGGAUCUUCUGAGAUUUCCUCCACACACACCGGAAUGUCAACUGGUGGUGUCAUUGUCCAGGUCUUGUUUAGGCGACUAUGUUGUUAAUGUUUUAUGGGCACAAAAUCUUCUCAAAUAUAAGUAAUACUAUCUCACAGGUGGUGGUGGUGUUCACUGGCCCCCUUUUCAUCCUUUUUUCUGUAACACUGCCUGAGCCUUGGAUGUAAUGUUUGUGUUGUAAAUGUUUCAGAAUGGGGUUGGAUGCCUCUCGGUGGGUUGCUCUCAGAACUUUGACCAGUUGUGGAUUUUCAUGAUGACCUCCAUCUGCUGUAAAAGAAAGCUUCUUUGAUUUAGGGUGGAAGCUAUACCUGUGGAUAUAAGGAUAGGUAUUUAGGAUGUGUUUAGCAAUUACACUGUUUUAGGAAAGUGCUACUAGUAGGUUCUCUUCAGGGUCCAUGAACUUAGCAGCCAUGGGUAAUUGGCCAGGUUUACAGGACCAGGCAUUGAGCAUCCUUCAGCUCAAUUAGAUUGCUGUUGAUUGCUUCCAGGAUUGAAAGGUCACUGAUGCACCCAAGGACAUAUCUUUGCAUGUUGGUCAUUGUGGUUUGUAAGCUUUAUAGGUAGUUAGGACUAUUGAUCAUUUUUCUCCUUUGGUAGCUUGCAUAGCAUCUUUGACACUAGGAGAUCUAAUCCUCAAGAACAAGGCUUCCAGACCAGUUUCAGAUUAGCUCUUCUAAGCCCUGUGUUCAAAGUUGUGCUGUCUUUAGUAGCAGGGUCUUAUCUUCAAGUGCUGGAAGGCAACCAAGGCUGAUGGUUAGAGUCUGCUCUAUCAUUUUGGGAGUCUCUCAGACUGCCUUGACCAACAACUUGAGGUAAAUAUCAGAUGACUUGCACUGCUGUUUUUGUUAGGUAGUCUCCGGCUCUGGGCGGGAGGGUAUUAACCUCACUUAAUUUAUUUGUAUAUACAGAUACACUUAUGUAAGUAUUAUCUAAGUAGAUAUAAAAUAAUGUUUCCUGUGGGUUGAUGUCUAUAUGCAGGUGAGGGCAAGCCAAAGAUAAGGCAAGGCCUGUGAUUGGGCAGUGAAAAAGAAAGGUAGGCUGAGAAUUUUAGAGACUGGACAGGGAGUAUGGACAAGGAAGGAAGAUGGAGGAAGAGAAAGAUGAUCCAGAUUCUGCAUGGCUUUAAAUAGCCACAGGUAACUAUGAAUAUCUUACAGGGGAUGAAUGAUUGCAGGAUAGUUUGUCUUAUCUAGGUGGGUCUUUUAUAUCAAUAUCAAUUGAGUUUAUUGUGUGGACAUUUGUGGGGUGAGAAUUUACUGAUAUAAAUCUGACUGAUAAAUUACAAGCUCAAGAGUUUUGAUUUUGCCAGGUCACUGGAAAUUGUGACUAUACCCACAGAGGGCAGAUGGCUGGGAAUGUGUGCAGAGUCUGUAGCAAGAAAGCCACAAGGCUAGAUUGGUAGUCUCUGCACGGGGCUGGUGUGGUGACAUCGACCCACCAUGGAAAGAUAGCAAGUCUGGGGCUAGCCACGGAAGUGGUGGGACCACUGGGGCCAGAGAGUGGCCGGAGCUAGCGUGGGAUGAUGCGUUCCUUUUAAAAAUAUUUCUCGCUACAGUUUCCCUGUGUUCUUUAUGGCUUCUUCCUCCCUCUGUAUUACUCUUAGCCCUUCUGAAAAUGCAGACCUGCCUUCUUCCUAUUUUCCCUACCAGAGGACUUGUGGCCCUGUGUUCUCUUUCCUAAAAGUCCUUCUAACCCUCCACUCCAUGGUCAUUUUUUACUUUCUUAGUUUCUGUGGUUACUCUAGUUUGUAUACUCCCAUCUAAACAUUAGGACUUGAUUCACAAACAAGAAAGAACGUAAGCUUUGUCUUUCUGGGUCAGCUAACUAACUACUCAAUACAGUAUUUUCAAGUUCCAGCCAUUUGCCUGUAAAUUUUACAGUUUUACUUUUUUUCACAGGUGGAUAAUACUCCAUUGAGCAUAAGUCCCACAUGUUCAUCAUGUAGUCAUCAAUUGAAAGAUAUUUAGGUUGUUUCCAUCUAUAAGCCAUUGCGAAUAGACUGGAAGUGACCAUAGCUAGGCAAGUAUUUGUGGAGUAGGAGAUUGAGUCUUUUAUACAUAUCCCCAGGAGUAGUACAUCUUGCUCAUAUGGUAGGCCUCCAUUUUGGAGUUUGAGAAUUCUCUACACUAAUUUCUUGAGUAGCUGUACCAGCUCAGUUUUACAAUCAAAUACGUUCUCCUUUCCCCAUACCCUUCCCAGCAUUUGUUGCCAGUUGUUUUCCUGAUAGUAACUCUUCUGACUGGAUAAAGAUGAAGUAUUAAAGUAUUUUUAAUUUGCAUUUUCCUAGUGCUUAGAAUCUUGGACAUUUACAAGUUGUUUUUUAGCCAUUUUUUAUUUAUUCUUUUGAGAAGUCUAUAUUUGGAUUUAAAGCCUGACCUGGGAUUUUUUUGCUUUGUUUUGCUUUUUAAUUGUGUCACUUGGUUUUUUGACUCCUUGAUUUUGAAGUUCUUUCUAUAUUUUGAACAUUAAUUCUCUGUUAGUCCAACAUACAACAAAGACUGAUGCUCCACUAUGUUCAUAGCAGCCUUAUUUAUAAUAGCCAGAAGCUGGAAAGAACCCAGAUGACCUUCAACAGGGGAAUCAUCUAGUCAAUGGAGUACUACUCAGCUAUCAAAAACAAUUACUUCAUGAAAUUCAUAGGCAAAUGGAUUGAACUAGAAAAUAACAUCCUGAGUGAGGUAACCCAAUCACCGAAAACACACACAUGGUAUGUACUCACUGAUAAGUGGAUAUGAGCCCAAAUGCUUGAAUAACCCAAGAUACAAUCCACAGACCACAUGAAGCUCAAGAAGAAGGAUGACCAAAUUGUGGAUGCUUCACUCCUUCUUUAAAAGGGGGAACAGACAUAUUCAUAGGAGGGAUAUGGAGGCAAAGUUUAGAGCAGAGACUGAAGGAACGGCCAUUCAGAGCCUGCCCCACGUGUAGCCCAUAUCUAUAUAGUCACUAAAACUAGAUAAGAUUGAUGAAGCUAAGAAGUACAUGCUGACAGGAACGAGAUAUAGAUGUCUAUUGAGAGACACAGCCAGAGCAUGUCAAAUACAGAAGUGAAUGCUAGCAGCAACCCAUUGAACUGAGACUAGGACACCCCCGCAUACCCCCCAUGGAGGAAUUAGAGAAAGGAUUGAAAGAGCUGAAGGGGCUUGUAACCCCAUAAGAAUAAUAAUGCCAACCAAACAGAGCUCCCAGGGACUAAACCACCAUCCCAAGAGUACACAUGGACGGAUCCGUGGCUCCAGCUGCAUAUGUAGCAGAGGAUGGCCUUGUUGGGCACCGAUGGAAGAAGAAACCCUUGGUCCUGCCAAACUUGGACCCCUCCAGUGUAGGGGAAGGAGGUAGAUGGGGAGGGGCUUAUGUCCAGGGAUACUGGAAAGGGGAAUAACAUUUGAAAUUUAAAUGAAAAAAAUCCAAUUAAAGAAAAAAAUUCUCUGUUAGAUGAAUAUCUGGCAAUGAUCGUCUCCCAAUUUGUGGCCUUCCUUUCCUCUUGAUUGUUUUCUUGUUCUACAGAAUGAGGUCCCAUUACUUAUACGCCUUAAUUCUUGGGCAAAUGAAGUCCUUUCCUACACCUAGGUUUUUUUCUAGCAAUUUUAGUGUUCAGAUUUACAUUGAGAUGCUCCAGCCAAUUGGAGUUGACUUUUGUUCAUCAGUGGUAGGUGGUGUCUGUCUUUGAAGAUACAAUGAGUUUCUUGUAGGCAGCGAAAAGAUGGAUUUUCUUUCUAAAUCUAUUUAAGGAACCUGUAUAUUUGUGGAUUUGUAGUCCUUAAUAUUUUAAGUUAUUGCUGAAAGUUGUGUGUUGAUUGCUACCUCCCCUUGCUGUCUGUUUUCCUUAUCUAAUUUUGUGUUAUCAUUGCAGCCUUAUUUUAUUCUAUAGCUUUUUAGCUAUAUGUAUUCCACACUUUGGUCUAAAGUAUUGCUUCCAGUAUUCUCUAUCAGGCUAAUUUAGUGGGUAUGAAUUCUUUUAGCCUGUUUAUGUCAUGAAGUUUUUUUCUUUCCCCUUCAGCUAUGGCAUAUAGUUUUGCUGAGUACAGCAGUCUGAGUUGGUGUCUGUGAUAUUUUAGAACUUGAAGUACAUUGCUGCAGAAUUUUCUGUUUCUUAUAGUUUUAUUUUAAAAAAGCUGUUUAGUCAGUUCAGUAUAAUUGUGUCUGUAUGGGUAUGUCUUGCCUUAGUUUGGGGAAGUUUUCUUCUGUAAUCAUGUUGUAGAUCUGGUCUCUGCCAUUCAACUGGGAUUCUUUUCUUUCUUCUAUGCCUAUAACUCAACCAUUUGGAAUUUACAUAGUGCCCACGGUUCUUGCCUAUUCCUGUCAUAUGUUUUUAACUUUUCCAUAGUCCUUACUUGUGUGGUCCAAUUCUCUUAAUCUAUAUUCUACUUGAUUUGUUCUACUUGUAGAAUUUGCUCUAACAUGAUUUCUAAUUGUGUUUUUGAAUUUUUAUUUAUUUCUAUGCAAGUUCCCAUCAAUACUUUUAUCUCUUAGUUCAGUUUUCAAAUCCUGAAUUGUCUUCAAUGUUUGAUUAAACUAUGUGUUUUCUUGGCCAUCAUUCAGGCAUCUUUUGCUAUUCUCUUUAAAUGACUGAACAGUUUAAUCCUGUCUUCUUUAAAUUUGAAUUCUAUGAUGACAUUUAUGAUAUUUACUUUAAAUUUUUAUUUACUAAAUUUCAUCUAGCUAAUUUCCAUUGAAGAAUAUUUCUAUGGGACUGGUGAUUUUUUUAGGGUGUUGUAUUAUCUUGGCUUUUCACAUUGUUUGUGUUUGGUUGAGAUCUAGGAAUGUCUACCUUUUUUACUGUCUCAGAGUCUGAUGGGAGAUUCUUGGCUGCUUCUAUUAAGUAGAAUGUUUUUUAAUUGUUGUUGCUUAAGCUUGUUUGACUUCAGAUUGGGUAUGAGGAGUUGAUAGGUCAAUCCUUAAGAUAUUCAGUUCUGAUUUGGGGAUGGGAGUGGUUACAAAAGGGAAAAUGGCUGGAUCUGCUUGAGCUGAUGUGCAAACUGUGUUACCCAACCUGUGCCUUGGAGUUUAAGCAUAGCAUGGAUGGGCUGGGGUCUUGGGCACUCACCAGGCUAGGCUGGCUUGUGUACUUUGUUUUUAGCCUAGGAUUCAGUAUUAGGAAUGAUGUGGAGGACUCACAUGGCUGGUUGGAUUGGCACACAAAUGUGUAGCCUUGGCAAGACCUGGAAGCUGGAUAUAGUUCAGGCAAGCUAGGGUGUAUAUAUUACCAGACCCAUGUAUUAAAUGUAUGGCAUUGGCUAGGGCUGGGGGUUGGUUAUGGCACAGAUGGACCAUUAUUAUGUAUAAUAAUGUUUCUUCUUCCCUUUUUUCAGUUAGAGUACAUUGCCUCAUAAACAGAUCCUAGGGCAUGAUUUUAGUUUAAGUGGUUCUUUGAGAAGGUAGAGGAGGAAGGAGAGUAACAUGAUAUCUAGUCUAGACAGAAGGCAGCUUGUGGUAGAUAACAGAAGGUUACUACAGCCAUGUGGAUGCUCUGAGAAAUGGUAGCAGAUUACCUCGCAGUUAUCCCUCCUGAGCAACAAGGUAGCUGGGGUUUUGAAUCCCAGCUUUAUUAGUCUUCUAUUGAAGGAUUUCGGAAGGAUGUUGUGACUGUUUGCAGCUACAGGGGAUGUAGAGAAAGAGACAUGGAAAAUUAGAAGCACCAAUGAACUGAAAAGGCUGAAAUGAUAGGAAAACUAUUCUGCAUUUAUAAAAUACUAUAAAGAACAGAACUAUCUCAGAUCAUGAUAAAAGUUUGCCCUCUGGAGUAGGUAGAGUACUUCCGUGUGUGUGUGUGUGUGUGUGUGUGUGUGUGUGUGUGUGUGUGUGUGUGUGUGUGUGUUUUGUUUAACUUUGUAUUAAAUGAGCUGACAUUUGUGUAUGUAUCAUAUCAAGUUAUUUCCUCCACAUGGCUUAUAUAUUCAGAUAUUCUAACAAAAGAAGAUUGAUUUACUACCUCUAAAAAUAGAUCUUUUUAUAUGCAGGAUUUGUUUUGGUUCUUACUUAGGGCAGUUUAAGGACUGAAGCCUUUCACCUGAGACAGCACUGUCAGUGGGGUAUAUUUUGACAUUAUGGAGUUGGCUUAACUGCAGUAUCAGUCUACCUUCCAAGACAAUUAGCACUAAAAUAUAUUUUGUCUUCACUCUACAUGAGUGUUUAAUUUGUUCACAUAUACCUUGUAUAACAGAACAACAAGUCAACUGUUAGAUCUAAGAGUCGUUGUUAAAAUCAGCAGGCUGCCUACCAUUUAACUUCUAUACAGAUUAUAUAACAUUCCAGGACUAACUUGGUUAGCCCAGUAGCAAAUGUGGUUACUAUGAAUAGAACAACCAUCAUGUCCACUCGCUGAGCACACAUAGUUUUGCCAUUAACAUACUAAUAUUUGGUCACUAAUUUUUCUGUUAUUUUUCUCACGAGUACAAACAAACAGCCUGGGCUCUAGGAAAAAGUCCUAGAAACAACUUUGUUUUGUAUUUGUGGUAAUGGGAAAGAGAAAGUAAAAGCAGAAGAGAGAAAAAGGAUGUAUUAGCAAUUUAUGUGUAGGGAGUAGAAUGGUGCCCCCACCCCCACAAGAACAAAAAUGUUAUUUGUGUGCCCUAAUUGCUAAAACCAGUUAUGGUGACCAUGUUUGGAGAAAGGGUCUUUGUGAGUAUAAUUGAAUAUAGCAAGAUAAGAUUAUUCUAUAUUUAUCACGGGCCUUAAAAUCAGAGGCAGGCUCAUAAUUAAGGGAUAUAAGAGAAAUCAAGAGGAUAUUUGAAACAUAGGGAGAGAAAGGAGAAGAUAUCUGUUAGAUAGAAACAGAUCAGAACCAGUGCUUCCCUAAGCCAAGGAAUGCCCAGCUGCCUGGAAACUAGGGGAGUUAGAAAGGAAUCUUUUCUGCUGCUCUCUAAGGGGCAGAGAGCUCUGCUGAUUCUCUGCCUUUAGACCUCUACCUCCUAGAAUGGUCCAGACUACAUUUAUAUAGUUUAACUUACUUACCUGUCAGUAUUUUGUUACAGGGAGCACUAAGGACCAACUUAGCAGGUAUUUUUAUUAUGGGAGCAAUGGAGGUAAUGGCUUUAUUGCUUACCAUUGUUUAACUUAGUAAAUGCCCCAUCUGUGAUUAGCACAGCCAAAUGGUAAGCAGAAUGGCUCCUCUGUUGAGGAACAUGCCCGACAAUGGCAACUAUGGCUUCAAGACCUUGGGCACAGAGCUACACAGAAGCCCGCUGCUAUAAGGAAGUGAGCAUUGGGGCAGCUGUCUCAAGCCUUGCCAAAGUCAUUUCUCCACUCCACAUUUCUUCCUCCAAAUCUGCCUUCAUUAAAGCCACAUUUCAGGAUCAUAGAUAGAUUCAUAGAUCAAACCCAGCAAUGAACAGUGUGGAUAUUUAGGGUGGCGUGUGUGUGUGUGUGUGUGUGUGUGUGUGUGUGUGUGUGUGUGUGUGUGUGUGUGUAUUUGUUGUACAAUCAUUAAUCUAUUUAAACAGUAAACCAUCAUUUAGGAUAUCUUAGAGGAAUAAUUAUUGUUGUAUUCUAAAACACACUAGUAGUUUAAUGACAUUAAGAUACAGCUUUCUGUCAAGAAUAGCUCUGACACUUAGUGUGCAUAACAAUCCUGUUAUAACUAAUUUCCUUCUUGUGAAAUUUAAAGAUAAGAGCUGUGCAAUAUUAAGAACGAUUUUUAUUGCUAUUAUGCGGGUGUCUGUAUCGUGAAAUUGAGAUCAUUUAUUUCCAUUUGAUAGUUGAGCAAAUUGAUUUUUCAUCAGUCCUGUCUCUUGUUAAUUUUUUCCCUAAUGCCCUUUCUCUGUGUUAAGAGACUGAAUGGUAAGUGUUGCUCAAACAUAUAUCACUAACUGUGAAGUUUACUGCAUUCAUGUCUAAAUAUAUAGCAUAACUUACGGACAGGAGCUUGAAGUUUCAGAUCUUAUGGGCUUGUAGUUAAAAAUGUGUAGUAGUGAUUCCUGAUGUGUGCUGAGGUGGUGGUGCCUUGCUGAUUUUUCAACCUCCUGUGAAGGGCCAGUAUAUUUAUAUUUAAUAAUAUUCAACUAAAUCUGUAUGUGGUAACAGUUUGGUAUCGACCUCCUGUACAAGACUCAGCAGAUUAGCCCAACUUGGAAUAGAGUCAUUCUUGUUGGGUACCACAUAACGAAUAGAUUCACGCUUGUUAGGUACCACAUAACCAAUAGAGUCACUCUUGUUAGGUACCAUAUAACCAAACUGAACUUUAACAUAAGCCUGUUUUGCAACUGUUCACAGGGGACCUUCUAUCUGAACAGACACAAUAAGGAAGUCCUCAAACCUUCUGAGCUAAGAAACCAUGAAAUGAUCUAUCUAAUUUUCAUUCCCUAUUUCUACUUCAGUACGUUUCUGCCUCCUAAGUUGAGAAUCAACACAAUUAUGAAACAACACAAUUCUGCCCUUAGAACUCAAUUUAUUUAAAUUGUUUUUUGAUAGGUUUAACAAUCACAUAGCCACAUCACUUGUGAUUUUAUACUUUUAGAUCACUUCGUGCUUAUUAAUAUUGACACAAAAUGCAUGACUGCUCACUUAGAAGAGUGGGUAAUAACAAAGAUUCAUCACGAAGUGCUGACCAUGCUACGGUUGAAGAUCUCCCCUGUAUCUUCCUCAGCAGCACAUGGCUUAAGCUUCUCAUAUUCCGCUGGCCACCUCCUUAAUGAAAACAGUCACUUUCUUUGCAGAUAUCCUCACUGGGAACACUGGUCAGCUUAUAUUUUGUUUUAGUUAUAAUUGAAACUUUCAGUUGAUCCUUCCUGUGUGUGGACAGUUAUUCUUUUGGAUAUAGCUUAACUUGUGUGCACUGAAAGUUGAGCUGAUGGCUGUCAUCUUUCACUUCUCAAGUUGCCCAGUAAACCAGUUUGGUGCUCUCUUAUAAACCUUGUAAACUUGUAAACCUUGAAAGGUAUAAUCUCUUCCUCUUUUUACAGAAAAAAAUAACCUAAAUUAUCAAUUUGUUCUAGUGGAUUUUGAUGAUGUUUUGGAGGUCCAGCUUUCAAAUCCUCUCAAAUUCUGUAGUGUCUGCAUUGUAAUGUUAGAAUACCGCUUUGGUCUGAAGAGUGAUGCCAGCCUCUUGAAAUGACUCACCAACAAGGGGAUCUAGCUGCAGAGGCCAGGUGAAGGACUGGAACAGCCCUCCUGAAGUUGUGUAUUAGAAUUUUUAUUUGGGUUAAGUUUCAUUUCAGAUGCAGAAAGCUUUAUGAAUGGUAGGUUUUCAGAUAAACAAAUACAUAAUAGGUACUCAUUUUCAUUUAUUUUUUGAUAUAAUAUAUUUUAAUCCAUUUUCCUUUUCUAACAAUUAAUUUAAAAGUGGACUUAUGUGUUCUUUUCUUAGUACUGGAUAUUUUUGCUAUUUUGUUUCACUGGGAACUCAAUGAGUAUAUUGAACUAUACUUUGAAUAUAUAUUGAAGUAUAUUCUUGUUGAACAAGAAUUUUUUAAGAGUUUAAGGCCAGCCCUUAAACUUGACAAUCAUGUACAAAGAAAUGAUAUUUUUAUCCCAUGAACUCUCAUAGGUAUAUCAGACACACUUAAGUUGGGGUCCAUGCCCAGCAGCCGAUGGCCAACUCAAUGGUAUUUUUGCAGACUUUUUAUAUUACAUUUUUUCUUACUGGUCUUUUCAUUGUAUACUAUAGUUUCCAAUUUUGUAUUUUUAUGGGUUUGGUUUUUGGUUUCGUGUGUGUGUGUGUGUGUGUGUGUGUGUGUGCGUGUGUGUGUGUGUGUUUCUUGUAUUUUCUUUCAUUUUAAAAGAAUUCGGGAUUGUUCGGGGUUUUUUUGUUGUUUGUUUGUUUUGUUUUGUUUGUUUUUUUAUUUGCCUAUUUCUAAAGAGAAAGAACAAAAUGAUGUGAAGUUGGGUGGUUGGGCAAUAGAGAUUGUCUGGGAGAAAUUGGGGGGACAGAAAUCCAUGAUCAGAAUAUAGCUUACAGAAGUUUUUCUCAAUUAAAACACACAGACACACAGACACAGACAUAGAUGCAUACAUGUGCGAACGAACGUGUACACACACACACACACACACACACACACACACACACACAAAUUACUAAGUAGAUGUGUGGCUAGGAAUGGUAGUAUAUGAGGUCAGACUGGCCUCACAAUGAGUACUAUGCCAGUCACGGCUUUAUAGCAAGCAUGAUCCUAUUUCAAAAAACAUUCAAAGAUCACCCAAGUAAGGUAGCACAGCCAUGAUUGCCUCUGUGUAAUCCAGCAAAGGAGAAAGACUGAGAAUGAGAAAAGCAGGUUCAUUCUAAAGAGUUGAGCAAGAACUUUGAAAACCCAUGAAGGAAUUCAACAAGGACAGUGAAAGGAAUAAGGAUGUGGGGUAGAGAAGGAAGUCACAGGAGUGGAGCAGAGACUGAAGGAAAGCCUACCCAGAGACUGCCCCACCUGGGGAUCUAUCCCAUCUGUAGACAGCAAACCCACACACUAUUGCGGAUGCCAAGAAGUGCAUGCUGACAGAAGCCUGGUAUAGUUGUCUCCUGAGAGGCUCUGCAAGCCUCUCACAGUCAACUGAGAGCAGGGACUCCAAUGGAGGACUUAGAGCAAGGAUUGGAAGAGCUGAAGGGGUUUGCAACACCAUAGGAAGAAAAACAAUAUCAACCAACCAGACCCCGAAAGGCCCCAGGGACUAAACCACCAACCAAAGAGUACACAUGGGUGGGGGAGCUUCAGCUGGAUAUGUAGCAGAGGAUGGCCUUAUCUGAAAGCAUUAGGAGGGGAAUCCUUGGCCCUGUGGAAGCUUCAGGACCUAGUGUAGGGGCAUGCUAGGGCUCUGAGGCGGGUGGGGUGGGAGGGUUGGAAGCACCCUCACAGAGGCAGGGGAAGGGGGAAGAGGAUACAGAGUUUGUGGAGGAGAAACUGGAUAGGAGAUAACAUCUGCAAUAUAAAUAAAUAAAACAACUGAGAGAAAGAGUGAAGGAGAGGAGGAGAGGGAGGGGAGGGGAAAGGAGAGAGAGAGAGAGGGAGAGAGAGAGAGAGAGAGAGAGAGAGAGAGAGAGAGAGACCCACCUCAGUGGUCUGGAACAGAUCACAUCCACAGACAGUAAACAUGGCACUGGAUAACUCUGAGCCUGAGGCCAGCGAGUAGAUCAAGUGUAGGCACCAGGUCUGUGCUCAUUGCUGUAGUCUGAGAACUCUUGAAUCCUGGGGUUGCAUAUGAUACUCUCAGCUCCAUCAAGUGAUCCACACUCAGGAGGCCAUGAAAGUAUGAAGGGGAGUCUGAUUUCUCCCCAUAGCCAUCUCAGCAUUGUGGUUGCUUCUUGUAUCCCAACCCUGCUGGCAGGUAUCCCCAGUUGAAGCAGCCAGCCCAGUGGGUGUAGUCUGCGGAGUCUCAGGAAAUUGAGCGAGCCUGCCAAGGCCACAGAAAGCAAAGUGUGUCCAGCAGAGCCUCCUGCUAGCAAAGAAGGGAAGCUACUAAUGUUGAAGAUUGUCCUACCAGACACCACACACUUGUACAGUACAGACCCUGCAAAGGCUUAAACUAUAGGAAAGAGUCAACAAGGACAAUGCACAGUCCCCGAAUUCCAUGCAUGUACCAGGCAGAGUGCAACGUUUGAGGUCCCAGGGAAAGUCAUGAUGUCCUGAUUCCUUUUCAGUACAUGUUUAGUAGGAUUUUUACUAUAUUUUACGUAUUUUCACUUUUCAAAUAUAUGUGUUAUCACCCUCGCAUAUCCGUCUAAUCUUGUGCACACCUCCCUCCUCAUUUUGGCAACAUUUCAUUCUUUUGUCUAGUUGGGUUUCCUCCGUGCCCUUUCUCUUUGUGAGGUUCUUUACACGAACUAGUGUUUUGACUCUACCCUGUUGGGAUAUUUUUCUUUAAUUACUUAAACAUAAUUUUUAAACCUCUUUGUUACAUUUAUCUAAUUCUGGUCUUGUUCUUUAUUAAGAAAUUCACUCCUGCUUCUACUCUGUUGCUUUUAUCCUCUUCUCCCCAGUAAUUCAUGUACUUUCCUUUCCUUCUGUUCAUUUAACUUUGUUCCUCUUCUAUUUUCCCCUUCCCUGACUCCCUACUUUAUCUCUUUCAUGUACUGUUUCCAAUCAUUUUAAACUUAAAACCUGAACAUUUUUAACUUUUAGAGUUGUGCUGUAUUAGUUUUGUUAUUUUCAGUUUCUAUAGUCUUGCAGAGUUUAAGGUUGUUCAUGCUACAAUGUUUUGUUUUCUCCUUGCUAAGUGGUACUGUGUGUUGAACUGCAAAGCAGGCUACUAAAUAAGAAGUUUUUCCAGGCCUAAAUCCAGAAGGUGCAUCCAAAGCCACAAAUAUGCAAACCAACACAGAAAAGCAAGAGCAUGAUAAAGAAAGGUAACAUCACCCCUGCAAAAGUUCAUAACUCAAGUAUUGAUUUAAGAAAAUUCUGAAAUAGGUAAAUUCCAAAUGAAGAUUUCAUUCCUAGUACAAGUUAUCAGUGACCCGAGAGACUUACAAAUAAGGCCCUGAGCUCAAUCUGGUCAGAAAGAUCGAGAUAGAAGUCUCCUGGGAAUUGCUGAGUGCGUCUGAUCUAAUAUAUAAGUGAAAUAAAUUAUCCUCUCUAAGGGAAUGACUGCAAUGCUUUGCAGAGUUGAACAAACCCCCAAGAUCCUUCAGAAUGGAAGGUGAGGUCAUUAUUUUCUUCCUUCCAUUAGGCAUCCAUAGGAUGGUUGCCUUUUUAUCCUAGAAGUCCUUCCAAGGACUUGCGCAUGAUUGCAUGGCUGUGCAGCUGCAGAUUAAUGAGCAUUAAUGAAGCCGGGCUCCCAGUCCUGGGUAGCAGAGUUAGGCAGAUCUCUGAGUUCAAGGCCAGUCUGAGUUCCAGGACAGCAAAGGUUACACAGAGAAACUCUGUUUCAAAAAAAAAAAAACCCAAAACAAAACAAAGCAACAGACCAACCAACAAAAACAAAAACAAAACAAAACAAACUCCAAAAUAUCCAUUUGUAGUAAAUAAUAGUGUCUUACCUAGAGAAGAUCAGCAGUGGAAAGGCCGAGUUGAUUUCCCAUCAAGUUCUCCAGUUCCUGUGCUUUUAUCCAAACACAGACUUUGCUUGCAUUGGGUAACCAAAACUAGGUAGAUAAAUGCUUUGUAUGGGCAAGAUUGUAUACAAGGAAUAAUAAUAAUUAUAGUAUAAUCCAACAGGCUACUCUAGAGUGGAAUCAGUGGAAGUUCAUUACUUUUGCAGUAUAUGAUAAUCUUUACAUGGUAAACAUAUUGAUAUUUUCCUCCCUACCUAUGGGGUUUAUUGGCACCUUUGGCUUGGUAGAAGAAGGCUUCCUCAUUAUCAAAGUGAAAUACUUCAUGCUUGACAAAAUCAAAGCCAGGGAAUGACAAAACUUAGAAGUAAAAUCUUUUGAACACCUGUCAUGGGGAGAAAUCCUCUAAUAAUUCCCAGGGGAUUCACAGAGAACACCCUCCCCUACCCCAUGACACCCAUCAACAUGUACAAGAGCAACAAGUCCUUUGGUGAUCGCUCUUCUACAUAAAACAGUUCUCUGGUACUGUUACUGCAUAAAACAUGCUCACUGGUUGGUCAACGUCACUGGAGUUUGACCAACCAGUGUUUUUAAUCUUUUGUGUCUCAAGUGGAUGAUUUCAGGGGAUAAGGGAAGAAAAUGUAUGACAUGAGCAGAAAGAAACUGGGCUGAAUUUAAUCCUAGAGGAAGAGGAAAGAAUGUCAAAUGAGGAUUGGGAAUCGAGUGAUCACUUUAUGAUGACUGCUGGAUAUUUUCCUCAUAGACAAAGCUCACAUUUACAAAUGAGUACUUAAAUGGUUAAACACACGCAUCUCUUAGCAACAAAAUAUCAAUUUGGACAUUGCACAAAAUGUAAUUUAACGGGACUGAAACACUGCUGUCAACCUUGAUGUGUGUGCGUGUAUGCACAAUGCGUGCUCAUGAAUGAUUUGUCUCCUCACCUGUGCUGUUCUGCUUUUGACUGAAGGCUGAUAUUGUUAGAGAACAGGGAUAUUUUGUAAAAUCUCAUCGGGAACAUUCAAAUUGGCAGAUGACUCAGUGCCCAUCUGCAAUAAAUCAAGAUGUACAUCUGACUGGGUUGGUGCUGUGUGCCAGGGCCUGCCUCAACGUGUUCAGUUUCUGAGUGAAUUCUGUCCAAAUUGCCAGUCAGAUAGCAAUUAAUUCCACAGGCAUUUUAUACACCUUACUUGUGCAAAGCGUUUAUUGCAUACUAUAGAUCUAGUUGUUAAGGGUCCUGCUGUCCACAAAGCCAUGGGCUUCUCUUUUAGUUUCCUUGAAACCCAAGCCUUCGACCUCCAUCCUCUAUUUUAUGUAUUUUCAUUCAUUUUUGGACCAGUUAUCAGGAUGCUGAUGCAUCAGUACAGGCUGUCCUGUGUAAGGGAGCCUCUGUGACCACUGUGUCCAUAGCCUUGCAUGGUGGCCUGAUACGACAGUCUAGUUUGGAUUCUUCACAAACAAAAUCCUGAUAUAAUGAUGGAGAUGGGAGUUUAUUGGAUUACUAAUUUCAGUAAAAUGGAAGGGGAAAAGUUAGUUGAGGCAUGCCUUCCUUCUAUCAAAAAAUAUUUAAAUUUUUUUAUUGAUUUGGAGAGAUAUGUGCAUGCCAAAGUACGUGUAUGGGGGUCAGAGGACACUUUAUAGGAGUUGGGUCUUUCCAUAGACCAUGUGGAGAAUCAGGAAUCAAAUAACAGGCUAUUGGGCCUGGUGACAAUUGCCUUUGCCUACUGAGCCAUCUAAAUUGCCCAUAUGAAAGAGAUAUUUUAAAGAUCAGAUUAAGGACAACGGGUUCCUGAAAUGAAGUCUUGUUAGAGCUCUUAUAUGGAGUGGCCACACAUAGGCCAGGAAUCUGGACCCUCACUCCAAGAAACCGUCUUUCAGUGGUUACUACCUGCCUCUGAAGUGUGAAAACAAAACAGAGCAGAACAAACCCAGACCUCUUGCCCUUCCACUCUUCUUUGACAGUGUGCUGAACUGUUAGGGAUGCUUGGGUGUGUGGGCGUGUGGCAUGGUGUUGCUGUGAACUCAGGUGGGACAAGGAAAUGCAGAGCGAGCCACUAGCAGAGGACAUUCCGAAUACCCGAUGUCUAUUGAAGAGGAACUUAGAGAUCACUUACUGUACUGUGUCUCCUGUGCUCUCUAGCUUAUCCACUUCUGAAAAUGAAAAGUUGGAAGAAUCAGCUGUGUCUCACCCCGCUAAUUCUGUGGCAUAGUGUGAUCGUAGACGAUUUGCAAAAUUAGCUCAUUCUGGACAAUCUUUCUCACAAAGAUGACAGCCAGAAAUAUGAUCCUUUCAGAAACAUGAUUGUGAUACUAACUAGGUCUCUAUGGUCAGAUUAUUUAUUUUCCUACUCUUAGGGGAAAUUUCGCAAGUCAUCAGCAUGACUCUGAAAGUAUUACCUGAUCAAGUUUACACAGUGGUGCUGACAGGAGUGGUGUGUCUUAUUAAGUCUUCCCACACCCCUUACAGCUUAAAACCACUAUCUCAUAUAAAUAGCCGGAAUACCCAUUUCAAGUGUAGAUCAUAAUUAUUAUAUAUUACAAACACAUCAAGAAACCAAGAAACAGUUACUUGUCCAAGCCCUCGAGCUUAGUAAGGAAGGAGUUCAGUAUGUGUGAGAUGUACAGAGUCCCUAACACUCUGGGGCAGUCCUGUCAUUUUCGGGGGGUUCAUACUCACUCUGGUUCCCAGGAUGCAUCUAGCUUCUCACUACCCCUCCCAUUCCCUAAGACAGGGAGUCAGAGACUAAAGAGCAAAAGGUGGCAAGUAUUUCUCCUAAUUCCUCUUACUUUAUGCUUCUAUUUAAUACCUUCUUCAUGCCAUAUCCGAAAUUAUAUUCUAAAUACAGGACCCAGAGCACAAUGCCACCCCUCCUUAAAACCCAUCUAAUGGAGUCCUUCUUUUUGUGCAAAAUCCAUGCUUAGUUUACUCAGCUAUAGAAUGUAGAUUAUUUUUUACCCCUUUCUUACCCCUCCAUCCAUGACUUUCAGGUCCAAAGCUUGGCCAUUUUUCUGUUUCAGGUGCCACCCACACCCCACCCCCAGCUGUUACUUACCUCCUGAUAUGACAGCUUCCUUCCUUUCUCCUUGCACCUGUACCUUGCCAGUCCCUUCUUACCAUGCAGCUAUCAAAUCUGUAGCUUUUCCACGCUAAAGGCUCUGCGGACUUGCCCUCUCUGUCACCCCAGUUUUGUCUCCUAGCACCCCUUUGUGAUUUCUUCAUACCGUGUAUGAGAAUAUGAAACCUCCCCUCUUCUAUCUCUGAGAUGACACAAGUGUCUUGCCAUCUCCUAAGACUGUAAAAGACGUUCAUUGUCCGUAAUAUUUUAGUUAAGAAUAUUUCUCUUUAAAGAAACCUUACAUUUUUCUUUACUGAGAGGAAGAGAAAGGAAUGAUGAAGGUUUUCAGAGAAAAAUGUGUGCAUUCACAGGUUGGCCUCUCUCUUAGCUUUUCUGAGUUUAAGUCACAGAGCCUUCAAAAUACCCUCCUCUCUUCCCUGCCCCUCCUCUUGCCUCCUCUGCUUAGAGAAAGGGACGGAGCAUGCAGGGAGGCUGGGAGUGGGAGGUGAAAGAAAGCUAGAGCAGUGAGGAAGCACCUGUGUGCAAAUGUUUGACCCAGCAUCAAGGUUGGCGGUCACUCCCAGAGCUCCACAACUUGCAAUGGACACUCACAGAAUGAGCACACUUCCAAUCAGGUAAACACAUGAGAACAUUCUACAAAAUGCUCCCGUCAAGAAAAAGCUAGUUGUGUCCAAUUUUCCCUAAGGAGUCUGUACUUUGAAAUGAUCAAGAUAUAUUGAGCAUGUUUCUAAUAAAAACUCUAUUUUAGAUAGAAGGCAUUGUGAACUUAAACAUCAUUUUUCUUUCAGAGAAUUUUAGAACUUAAAGUUUUAAUUUUAUACCAGACACAACAUGUUUUGUUAACGAUGAGAGUUUCAUUUUUUUCCAGGCUGGUUGCUGGGGUGUAGAGACUAUCCUCGAGGAACACCUUGGAUACAGUGACAGCUAUGGCCAGUUUCUGGCCAGAAUCAAAUCUGCAGCACAUAUCAAGAUCCAGGGCAAGGGGUAGUUUGCAGGGUUUUAAUUUUCCCCAGCCUUUCAUAUCUCACAGAGAGUUAGAGUUUAGCUUAAAUUAUCUGUAGUAUUGUAUGAAUAUUCACAGUCACCUUAGAAGACAUUUUACAAUGUAUUUAAUAGCACAGCUAUAUUUUAUUUUCUGAGACCAUUGUAUACCCCUCAGAGUCCCCAUUUACUAAGAAUAGCAUUAUAAAUAAAAAGGGGUGGGGCCACACCUGUAUCCUGUCUUUGUUUGCAUUCAAGGCAACCUCAAAUUUGUCAUGUCUCUGAACUCAGCUACAUUUACUACCCCAGAUGGAUUUUUACCACAUGAGCAAUUAAUCUAAUUGGAGACCAUGAAGUGUUUAUGUCAAGGCAAGAGGUGGCAGAAUCGUCAUCGUGGUGGCUCUGCAGGCAGCAAACACAUUUCACUGUGUCCUUCUAGCCUAGCCCUUUGCUGCCCUUCCCUUUCUAUUUUUAUAUUAAAUAGGAGGAAAUUCAGCUAGGCACUCAGAAAACGGGCAGCUUCUUUUAAGAUGCGGUAUAUUUCUAAUUUCCAUACAUUUCCUUCGAGUGCAGUGGCCUUGGGAACACCAUCGCCCUCAGUCCUGACAGGUGUAAAAAGGCAAAUUCUGCCAGGAACUGAUUGAAAUGUUACACUGACUUUUCCAGAACUGGCAUGGUAGGUGACAAAAGACAGCUCAUGUUGCUGGGUCAGGUGAAGUUGAUGCCAUAAUCCCGUUUUACCUAUCUUGAGCUCCUGUGUGAGAAAAUCCUAUGUCGAGGUAUAUUACCAUCACCUCUCAGAACCCCUAAAGGACCUGGCAAAAUACAGCUCUUUCAAGUUUCAUAAUCACACUCUCCAUUCUGAAGGCUCGGGGACCAACAAGUGGAGAAAUCUCCGAAGACCAGGCGGUACGCUCCUUUGUGCAUUCUCUAUGCACAUUGUAAUUUCCUGCAUGAAAAUGGUCUACAGACUGUCCACAAAUAGUCCAGUGUUAUUUGGCUAAUCAAUAUAUGUGGGCCUAGGAUGCCUUCACUCAUAUAGUGAAUGCAUUCCACAGAACACGACAUUUGGAAAUUGAAAGUCAUAUUACAUAUUUUAAUUUUAGAGUCAACAUCAGAAUAAUAAGCAUGUAGUAAAUUUUGAUAGAUUUUUGUAUUUUAAGUCUUAAAUGAUGUGUUAUUUUCUUCGGUUUGUGUGUAUUCUCUGUGAGAAUAGGCCCUUUAUUUCUAUUUUUUCAUGUGUAUAUGUAAGGUGUUAUAUAGGUAUUAUGGUGGUUCAUGGGGGCGGGGGCUGAGUAAGGUUCAUGACAAAAAUGUUGAUAAUCAUGAUCCACUUCUUUAUUUUUUGUCAAAGCAGGCUCUCUUAGUCAAACUAGGGACCUGAUGCUUUGGCUAGGCUCCCUAGGCAGCUUGCUCUGGGUACUCCUUCUCUCUGCUCCUCCUGGCUGGCAUUACAGGCAAACCUCCAUGCCUUAGGAAUUGAUAUAGAUUGUGGGAAUUCCAAGUCCAAGGCUCAAACUCCAAUGCGGCAAUCACUUUAAAUGAGCCAUCUACUCAGUCCCAAGAUUAUAUCUUUAAAGCACAGAAAUAUUAUUUUGCUAUGCUGACAUAUUUCUGAAGUGUCUUAGUUAGGGUUUUAAUUGUCAUUAAAGUUUUAUCACUAGCCAGUGCAACUUGGGAAAGGGUUUAUUUAGCUUACAUGUCUACAUUGCUGUUCAUCACUGAAGUCAGGACAGGAACUCACACAGGGCAGGAACCCAGAGGCAGGAGCUGAUGCAGAGGCCAUGGAGGGAUGCUACUUACCCACUUGCUCUUCAUUGCUUCUUUGGACUGCUUUCAUGUAGAACCCAGGACCACUUGCCCAGGGUUGGCCCCACCUACAAUGGCCUAGUUCCUUCCACAUCAAUCACUAAUUAAGAAAAUGCCGAUAGGCUUGCCUGCAGUCCAAUCUUAAUGGAGGCAUUUUCUCAGUUGAGGCUCUUUCCUCUCAGAUGACCCUGUGUCAAGUUGACAGAAAACUAGCCAGCACAGAGAUAUUUAAUAUUUUCCCAUGCCACCUGGAAAGCUCUUUGGUGGGAAUCUCUACUUGCUAGGAUAUCCCUCAGACUUUCCCUUACCUGCUUUUACCUUGGGUUCCAUGCCAUCUUGCCAGAGAUGUCUUAUUCAACAUCUUACCCUGACUUAUUUUCUUCUUAUCCUGUAUAAUCACAAGGCAUAUUAUGCACUUUGUGUCUGUCUUCCUUGUAUUCAAUUCUAUAACCUUGGUAUUGAUAUUUACUUACAGUAACCUCUGAAGAUCAGCACCUUGCACAGUGUGUGUGUGUGUGUGUGUGUGUGUGUGUGUGUGUGUGUGUGUGCGCGCGCG